Molecule: long non-coding RNA, 1510 nt
Organism: Oncorhynchus masou masou (cherry salmon)
Lineage: Eukaryota; Metazoa; Chordata; Actinopteri; Salmoniformes; Salmonidae
Exons: 4
Source: RefSeq, a predicted model, not a curated record
UUUGUCGCGCAGCACUGAAAGGAACUUUAUCCCUUUGGUAGACUGGUAGACUCGGGUGUAGGUGGCUUUAAAUCAUUAAUUUACCGAGAUGUUUUUAAUAAAUUAAAGAAACGUGCAUCACAACUAUUAGGAUUAUUGCCAACAAGACAAGAUGGAUAGAUAGAUGUUGAGGAACGGUCCCAAAAUGUGCGCACACGUUAAAGCCUGCCCCUUCUCCCCGUGUCAUCGAUGGCCAUCCGGCGUACACAGUGAGGUGCCUCCUGAGUGUUCAACCACAGGGCAGGGGUUUCAAGUACCUGGUUGACUGGGAGGGUAAUGGCCCAGAGGAGAGGUGCUGGGUCCCUGCUAGAGACAUCCUGGACCCAGCCCUCAUCGCCAACUACCACCGCCGGUACGCCGGUCAACCAGCUCCUGCUUUUCCCAGCCUCUCCUUUUCUUGCCCUCCUGGUUUUGACCCCUGCCAGUCCUGACUCUGAGCCUGCCUGCCUGACCACUCUGCCUGCCCCUGAGCCUGCUUUCUGACCUGUACCUUUGUCCCACCUCUGGAUUAUUGACCUCCACCUACCCUGACCCUGAGCCUGCCUGCCAUCCGGUACCCCACCUCUGGUUUACUUAGCCCUGCCUGCCUUGACCUAUCUAUUGCCUGCCCCUGUUGGAUUAUUAAACCAUUUUUAAUUGUAUGUUUUCUGCAUCUGGGUCUUACCUUCGUACCCAAUAGGUGUUUCACGUUGAACACAGAGGAUAUGUUUGAAGAAUUCUGCAUGCAGUCUCAAUUUGGGUGUGCAGGGGGAAUACGUGGUCUUUCUUACAGUAAUUUGGUAAAAAUCCAAUUUUACAUUUGCUCAGUACAUUGCUUUCACUGAGGAAAUGUACAAGUCUGCUGUAAAUGAUAAAGCAGAGGAUUUUCCCAAGGUUGCUGUUGAUGCAUAUCCCACGGUAGUUAUUGGGGUCAAAUUUGUCUCCACUUUUGUCGAUUGAGGUGACCAGUCCAUGGUUCCAAAUAUUGGGGAAGAUGCCAGAGCUAAGGAUGAUGUUAAAGAGUUUAAGUAUAGCCAAUUGAAAUUUGUGGUCUGUAUAUUUUAUAAUUUCAUUUAGGAUACUAUCAACACCACAGGCCUUUUUGGGUUGGAGGGUUUGUAUUUUGUCCUGUAGUUCAUGUAAUACAAGAAUCGAGUGUGUUCUGGUAGUCUUUAAUAGUUUCUAAGAUUCUAAGAUUGUCACGCCCUGACCUUAGAGCUUUUUACGUCUCUAUUUUGGUUUGGCCAGGGUGUGAUUUGGGUGGGCAUUCUAUGUUCCUUUUUCUAUGUUUUUGCAUUUCUUUGUUUAGGCCGGGUAUGGUUCUCAAUCAGGGACAGCUGUCUAUCGUUGUCUCUGAUUGGGAACCAUACUUAGGUAGCUUUUUCCCACAGGGUUUUUGUGGGUAGUUAAUUUCUGUUUAGUGUUUUGCACCUUUUAGGACUGUUUCGGUUAUUCCCUUUGUUAUAGUGUUCAGUUUUAAUAAAGAAAGCAU